AUUGAACGCUGGCGGCAUGCUUUACACAUGCAAGUCGAACGGUAACAGGCCGCUAGGUGCUGACGAGUGGCGAACGGGUGAGUAAUGCAUCGGAACGUGCCCAGUCGUGGGGGAUAACUACUCGGAAGAGUAGCUAAUACCGCAUACGAUCUAUGGAUGAAAGCGGGGGACCGUAAGGCCUCGCGCGAUUGGAGCGGCCGAUGUCAGAUUAGGUAGUUGGUGGGGUAAAGGCUCACCAAGCCAACGAUCGGUAGCUGGUCUGAGAGGACGACCAGCCACACUGGGACUGAGACACGGCCCAGACUCCUACGGGAGGCAGCAGUGGGGAAUUUUGGACAAUGGGCGCAAGCCUGAUCCAGCAAUGCCGCGUGCAGGAAGAAGGCCUUCGGGUUGUAAACUGCUUUUGUACGGAACGAAACGGCUCUGGUUAAUACCCGGGGCUAAUGACGGUACCGUAAGAAUAAGCACCGGCUAACUACGUG
This 482-nucleotide ribosomal RNA is filed under the name uncultured bacterium. Its description in RNAcentral is "partial 16S ribosomal RNA". It matches the Rfam family "Bacterial small subunit ribosomal RNA", at positions 30 to 507 of the family's 1533-position model. The record is from RNAcentral.